ACCGCUGUACCCGGUGUAAGAGUAGAUUGUUCACUUGGAAGGUCAAACGUUUCAAACAUUUUCAAUAUGUCAAAAGUCCUAAGAUACCUACCAGGACCCGGUGGGCGUUUCGUGAAAUUAGCUAGUAAAAUCAUUGGUCCAGAAGCGAGAAGUCAUAUAUACGCUACCAAGCAUCUGGCAACAAAGAUGGCAAAACCAGGUGCAACGUUUUUAGUGGCAGGAAGCACAUAUAUCUUAUAUCUCUCAGAGUGGGAUGAGGUCUGCCAAUAUAUCCCCUUCUAUGGCAAUAAAUACUCUGACAACGAGCCUCUUGAAUAAUAACCUGGAGCAGGGAAUUCUAUUUUAUUAUAAUGACAGGUUCAGUCAUCUCAAAGACCUGAAUGCUGAAAUGAGCUCCUAAAUUUUAAAAUUAUAUUGGAACAUUUGUGACUUCAAAAAUGUGUUUACUGAUAGUUCAUGUUUUGUAAAUAAAAUAUCUAAAUGUCA
Mya arenaria is the source of this 486-nucleotide long non-coding RNA. RefSeq lists it as uncharacterized. The transcript is spliced from 3 exons. The record is from RefSeq and is a predicted model, not a curated record. NCBI's taxonomy places the organism in Eukaryota, Metazoa, Mollusca, Bivalvia, Myida, Myidae.